ACGGGAGGCAGCAGUGGGGAAUAUUGGACAGUGGGGGCAACCCUGAUCCAGCGACGCCGCGUGAGUGAAGAAGUAUUUCGGUAUGUAAAGCUCUAUCAGCAGGGAAGAAAAUGACGGUACCUGACUAAGAAGCACCGGCUAACUACGUGCCAGCAGCCGCGGUAAUACGUAGGGGGCAAGCGUUAUCCGGAUUUACUGGGUGUAAAGGGAGCGUAGACGGCGAAGCAAGUCUGAAGUGAAAACCCACGGCUCAACUGUGGGACUGCUUUGGAAACUGUUUUGCUAGAGUGUCGGAGAUGUGAGUGGAAUUCCCAGUGGAACGGUGAAAUGCGUAGAUAUUGGGAGGAACACCGGUGGCGAAGGCGGCUCACUGGACGAUAACUGACGUUGAUGGUCGAAAGCGUGGGGAGCAAACAGGAUUAGAUACCCUGGUA
RNAcentral lists this ribosomal RNA (434 nucleotides) under uncultured Clostridium sp. Its description in RNAcentral is "partial 16S ribosomal RNA". It matches the Rfam family "Bacterial small subunit ribosomal RNA", at positions 341 to 792 of the family's 1533-position model. The record is from RNAcentral. Lineage: Bacteria; Bacillati; Bacillota; Clostridia; Eubacteriales; Clostridiaceae.